GGGUGACGCACGACUAACACAAUUUUAGUAUUUAAUCCUUACAGUAGUUAAAUGAUAACAUUUGAAAGAAACUGAUUCUGUCAGUAUAUCGGAAGCUAUUGAGUAAGAGGUUGGUCUGGAUGGAACACGUAGAAGUUUUCUUCCUCUGGAGAUUAAAGUUGGAAGCAAUUUCCUUGAGACCAAAACACUAGCAGCACUUACAGUCACAAUGGCGACCAUUGCCAAUCUAUUUUAAAUCUGACAGUUCUAUGGUUGGCUGUACAACGAUGACUCAAAUUCGUGACCGCAGUUUCUGAUCGUAGCAGUGGGAGCAAUUCAAAAGACACCCAUGUCUCAUGUAUUG
Parasteatoda tepidariorum (common house spider) is the source of this 343-nucleotide non-coding RNA. Lineage: Eukaryota; Metazoa; Arthropoda; Arachnida; Araneae; Theridiidae. The record is from RefSeq and is a predicted model, not a curated record.